UGUAAGCGUAUACCAAAGUUGUUGCAGUUAAAACGCUCGUAGUCGGACUUUGGCAGUUCCGGAUGUGUGCACGUCGUGUGCGCACUUCGCGGGGAUUGCUUUUGUGGUCUUGCGUAGGAUGAGGCACUUUUAUUAGUGAACGUCCUCACGCAACCACUUUUUACUGUGAGAAAAUCAGAGUGCUCAAAGCAGGCAUUUGCCGUGAAUGUAUUAGCAUGGAAUAAUAGAAUAGGACUUGGUUCUAUUUUGUUGGUUUGUUGGGACUGAGUAAUGAUUAAGAGGGACAGUUGGGGGCAUUUGUAUUUCGGUGCUAGAGGUGAAAUUCUUAGAUUACCGAAAGACAAACUGCUGCGAAAGCGUCUGUCAAGGAUGUUUUCAUUGA
RNAcentral lists this ribosomal RNA (382 nucleotides) under uncultured eukaryote. RNAcentral's name for it is "partial 18S ribosomal RNA". It matches the Rfam family "Eukaryotic small subunit ribosomal RNA", at positions 592 to 976 of the family's 1831-position model. The record is from RNAcentral.